UACGAAGGGGGCUAGCGUUGCUCGGAAUUACUGGGCGUAAAGCGCACGUAGGCGGCUUUCUAAGUCGGGGGUGAAAUCCUGGAGCUCAACUCCAGAACUGCCUUCGAUACUGGAGAGCUUGAGUCCGGGAGAGGUGAGUGGAACUGCGAGUGUAGAGGUGAAAUUCGUAGAUAUUCGCAAGAACACCAGUGGCGAAGGCGGCUCACUGGCCCGGUAC
RNAcentral lists this ribosomal RNA (217 nucleotides) under uncultured bacterium. RNAcentral's name for it is "partial 16S ribosomal RNA". It matches the Rfam family "Bacterial small subunit ribosomal RNA", at positions 524 to 740 of the family's 1533-position model. The record is from RNAcentral.